GCCUAGGGUAAAAUCGGUAAUUGGGGCUAAGUCGUAACAAGGUAGCCGUAUCGGAAGGUGCGGCUGGAAUACCUCCUUUUUAGAGCUCAUU
Molecule: ribosomal RNA, 91 nt
Filed under: Chitinophaga sp. Ak27
Lineage: Bacteria; Pseudomonadati; Bacteroidota; Chitinophagia; Chitinophagales; Chitinophagaceae
Description: partial 16S ribosomal RNA
Rfam family: Bacterial small subunit ribosomal RNA (bases 1-79)
Source: RNAcentral